This 460-nucleotide ribosomal RNA is filed under the name uncultured bacterium. Its description in RNAcentral is "partial 16S ribosomal RNA". It matches the Rfam family "Bacterial small subunit ribosomal RNA", at positions 338 to 795 of the family's 1533-position model. The record is from RNAcentral.
CCUACGGGAGGCAGCAGUGAGGAAUAUUGGUCAAUGGACGAGAGUCUGAACCAGCCAAGUCGCGUGAAGGAUGACUGCUCUAUGGGUUGUAAACUUCUUUUAUAAAGGAAUAAAACGAGGCACGUGUGCCUUUUUGCAUGUACUUUAUGAAUAAGGAUCGGCUAACUCCGUGCCAGCAGCCGCGGUAAUACGGAGGAUCCGAGCGUUAUCCGGAUUUAUUGGGUUUAAAGGGUGCGUAGAUGGGUUGUUAAGUCAGUUGUGAAAGUUUGCGGCUCAACCGUAAAAUUGCAAUUGAUACUGGCAGUCUUGAGUACAGUUGAGGUAAGCGGAAUGCGUGGUGUAGCGGUGAAAUGCUUAGAGAUCACGAAGAACCCCGAUUGCGAAGGCAGCUUACUAAACUGUGACUGACAUUGAUGCACGAAAGUGUGGGUAGCAAACAGGAUUAGAUACCCGUGUAGUC